GUACGAAAUAACAAUACAGUAUUUCUGAGAUAUUAGAGUAUAGGCUUGACAUACAGUACCAGACAACAGAAUAUGGUAUUUAGGAGAUCGUAGAGUAUCGACUUGACUUGCAGUAUGAUGAGACUUUUUGUGAAACAUAUUGACUAUUCCAACACUGUUGAAUCAAGUGUAUUUAAUGUGAGUAUAGACGCCGUGUGGCUUACCGUGAAUAGAAUCGAGGUUAGAUAACGGGACAAUCAAGAGGACGUUUCUCUGCCAACCCCAGGAUCGACCCUGGGACGCCCCGGCUAGUGUCUCGGCGCCUAACUCAAUGAGGAGACAGAUGAUGUUGAAGGCUUUGGAUCAGUUUGAAUAUGAUUGUAUAUCAUAUUGACUUUUAUUUCUUUGGAGAUGAUAACAUGGGAGUAUUUACAUGUUAUUGUUCA
Molecule: long non-coding RNA, 425 nt
Organism: Patella vulgata (common limpet)
Lineage: Eukaryota; Metazoa; Mollusca; Gastropoda; Patellidae
Exons: 3
Source: RefSeq, a predicted model, not a curated record